UUACGGCCAUAUCACGUUUGAACACCGAUUCUCGUCAGAUCGCCGAAGUUAAGCAAAGUUGGACCCGGUCAGUACCUAGAUGGGUGACUGCUCAGGAAUACCAGGUGCUGCC
Acanthosepion pharaonis is the source of this 112-nucleotide non-coding RNA. The record is from the annotation of a GenBank genome assembly. NCBI's taxonomy places the organism in Eukaryota, Metazoa, Mollusca, Cephalopoda, Sepiida, Sepiidae.